UACAGAGGUCUCAAGCGUUGUUCGGAUUCAUUGGGCGUAAAGGGUGCGUAGGUGGCGCGGUAAGUCGGGUGUGAAAUCUCGGGGCUUAACUCCGAAACUGCAUUCGAUACUGCCGUGCUUGAGGACUGGAGAGGAGACUGGAAUUUACGGUGUAGCGGUGAAAUGCGUAGAUAUCGUAAGGAAGACCAGUGGCGAAGGCGGGUCUCUGGACAGUUCCUGACGCUGAGGCACGAAGGCCAGGGGAGCAAACGGG
This 253-nucleotide ribosomal RNA is filed under the name uncultured bacterium. Its description in RNAcentral is "partial 16S ribosomal RNA". It matches the Rfam family "Bacterial small subunit ribosomal RNA", at positions 524 to 776 of the family's 1533-position model. The record is from RNAcentral.